RNAcentral lists this ribosomal RNA (446 nucleotides) under uncultured bacterium. RNAcentral's name for it is "partial 16S ribosomal RNA". It matches the Rfam family "Bacterial small subunit ribosomal RNA", at positions 338 to 795 of the family's 1533-position model. The record is from RNAcentral.
CCUACGGGUGGCAGCAGUCGAGAAUCAUUCACAAUGGGGGAAACCCUGAUGGUGCGACGCCGCGUGGGGGAAUGAAGGUCUUCGGAUUGUAAACCCCUGUCAUGUGGGAGCAAAUUAAAAAGAUAGUACCACAAGAGGAAGAGACGGCUAACUCUGUGCCAGCAGCCGCGGUAAUACAGAGGUCUCAAGCGUUGUUCGGAAUCACUGGGCGUAAGGCGUGCGUAGGCUGUUUCGUAAGUCGUGUGUGAAAGGCGCGGGCUCAACCCGCGGACGGCACAUGAUACUGCGAGACUAGAGUAAUGGAGGGGGAACCGGAAGUCUCGGUGUAGCAGUGAAAUGCGUAGAUAUCGAGAGGAACACUCGUGGCGAAGGCGGGUUCCUGGACAUUAACUGACGCUGAGGCACGAAGGCCAGGGGAGCGAAAGGGAUUAGAUACCCGUGUAGUC